This 1044-nucleotide ribosomal RNA is filed under the name Thermotoga sp. enrichment culture. RNAcentral describes it as "bacterial SSU rRNA". It matches the Rfam family "Bacterial small subunit ribosomal RNA", at positions 354 to 1381 of the family's 1533-position model. Lineage: Bacteria; Thermotogati; Thermotogota; Thermotogae; Thermotogales; Thermotogaceae. The record is from RNAcentral.
UGGGGGAAUCUGGACAAUGGGCGAAAGCUGAUCCCAGCGACGCCGCGUGGGGGGGAUGAAGCCUCGGGGUGUAAACCCUGUUGUGAGGGAGGAAUAAGGCCUGGAGGGAAAUGCCAGGCCCGAUGACUGUACCUCGCGAGGGAAGCCCCGGCUAACUACGUGCCAGCAGCCGCGGUAAUACGUAGGGGGCGAGCGUUACCCGGAUUCACUGGGCGUAAAGCGGGUGUAGGCGGCUCGGUAAGUCGGGUGUGAAAUCCCACAGCUCAACUGUGGAAUUGCGCCCGAAACUGCUGAGCUUGGGGCCGGUAGAGGGAGACGGAACUGCCGGUGUAGGGGUGAAAUCCGUAGAUAUCGGCAGGAACGCCGGUGGGGAAGCCGGUCUCCUGGGCCGCGCCCGACGCUGAGACCCGAAAGCUAGGGGAGCAAACCGGAUUAGAUACCCGGGUAGUCCUAGCCGUAAACGAUGCCCACUAGGUGUGGGGGAUUAAUUCCUCCGUGCUGUAGCUAACGCGUUAAGUGGGCCGCCUGGGGAGUACGCCCGCAAGGGUGAAACUCAAAGGAAUUGGCGGGACCCCGCACAAGCGGUGGAGCGCGUGGUUUAAUUGGAUGCUGAGCCAAGAACCUUACCAGGGCUUGACAUGCAGGUGGUACCGACCCGAAAGGGGAGGGACCCCAUCCUUUUGGAUGGGGAGCCUGCACAGGUGGUGCACGGCCGUCGUCAGCUCGUGCCGUGAGGUGUUGGGUUAAGUCCCGCAACGAGCGCAACCCCUGCCCUUAGUUGCCAUCGGUUCGGCCGGGCACUCUAAGGGGACUGCCGGCGACGAGCCGGAGGAAGGAGGGGACGACGUCAGGUACUCGUGCCCUUUAUGCCCUGGGCUACACACGCGCUACAAUGGGUGGUACAAUGGGUUGCGACCCCGCGAGGGGGAGCCAAUCCCUAAAACCACCCUCAGUUCAGAUCGCAGGCUGCAACCCGCCUGCGUGAAGCCGGAAUCGCUAGUAAUCGCGGAUCAGCCACGCCGCGGUGAAUACGUUCCCGGGGUU